Molecule: ribosomal RNA, 161 nt
Filed under: Nenga pumila var. pachystachya
Lineage: Eukaryota; Viridiplantae; Streptophyta; Magnoliopsida; Arecales; Arecaceae
Description: 5.8S rRNA
Rfam family: 5.8S ribosomal RNA
About the family: 5.8S ribosomal RNA (5.8S rRNA) is a component of the large subunit of the eukaryotic ribosome. It is transcribed by RNA polymerase I as part of the 45S precursor that also contains 18S and 28S rRNA. Functionally, it is thought that 5.8S rRNA may be involved in ribosome translocation.
Source: RNAcentral
ACGACUCUCGGCAACGGAUAUCUCGGCUCUCGCAUCGAUGAAGAACGUAGCGAAAUGCGAUACCUGGUGUGAAUUGCAGAAUCCCGCGAACCAUCGAGUCUUUGAACGCAAGUUGCGCCCGAGGCCACCCGGUCGAGGGCAUGCCUGCCUGGGCGUCAUGC